This 556-nucleotide ribosomal RNA is filed under the name Neofusicoccum parvum. Its description in RNAcentral is "eukaryotic LSU rRNA". The stretch from base 182 to 335 matches the Rfam family "5.8S ribosomal RNA". The record is from RNAcentral. Lineage: Eukaryota; Fungi; Ascomycota; Dothideomycetes; Botryosphaeriales; Botryosphaeriaceae.
AGGCUACGAAUGAUUCGAGCUCGGCUCGACUCUCCCACCCAAUGUGUACCUACCUCUGUUGCUUUGGCGGGCCGCGGUCCUCCGCACCGGCGCCCUUCGGGGGGCUGGCCAGCGCCCGCCAGAGGACCAUAAAACUCCAGUCAGUGAACUUCGCAGUCUGAAAAACAAGUUAAUAAACUAAAACUUUCAACAACGGAUCUCUUGGUUCUGGCAUCGAUGAAGAACGCAGCGAAAUGCGAUAAGUAAUGUGAAUUGCAGAAUUCAGUGAAUCAUCGAAUCUUUGAACGCACAUUGCGCCCCUUGGUAUUCCGAGGGGCAUGCCUGUUCGAGCGUCAUUUCAACCCUCAAGCUCUGCUUGGUAUUGGGCUCCGUCCUCCACGGACGCGCCUUAAAGACCUCGGCGGUGGCGUCUUGCCUCAAGCGUAGUAGAAAACACCUCGCUUUGGAGCGCACGGCGUCGCCCGCCGGACGAACCUUUGAAUUAUUUCUCAAGGUUGACCUCGGAUCAGGUAGGGAUACCCGCUGAACUUAAGCAUAUAGUCCCCCGGAAGGAAGA